Cygnus atratus (black swan) is the source of this 1704-nucleotide long non-coding RNA. RefSeq lists it as uncharacterized. Lineage: Eukaryota; Metazoa; Chordata; Aves; Anseriformes; Anatidae. The record is from RefSeq and is a predicted model, not a curated record. The transcript has 3 exons.
AGGUGUUUAUUUUUAGUUGAGGAGGGUGAAAAGAGGCAAUAGAGUGAGAAGGGAUCCACUAAUCUCUUGGGUCAACCAAAUGUGCUGUGAAAUAUUAAAGUCAGCAGAAAAGAAGAAAUCUUCUAAGAUUGAGGAAGGUGCUUUGCAAGCUGGAUUGUUUUGUAGUGAGUGACAUACUGGAGAAGACACCUGAUGUCUCCGGAUGAGGUGGUCCCCCUGCCCAACUCCAGCGGUGGUGGUGAGGUCUCUGAAGGUGGUGAGCACGAGGCGUGAAGGUGGAAAAGCGCCUCACUCAGCCAACCACACUGCAACACCUGCCUACGCCAGAGGAACAGCUUCACCACCUUGGAGACCUGGAAUGAAACCCCUGCAGCUCCCUCCUUCUCCUGCUCUCCUGAAACUGCUCUUAGAGUUAUUGCUUCUUGUUUUCUACCUUUUUGUUUUGCUUAUUUUUAAUUCAGACUUGUAGACGAGCUUUGUUUUGCUUUGCAGCAAGUGAUGGCCGAAGCGUGGCGAAGUGCAGUGUGCUCACACAGACUGCACUUCUGGGGAGUAGGCCUGGUGGGGUUUGUCUGGGAGGGAUGGGAGUUUUCCUAGGACUCUGUAUGGGAAAAUAUCUACCAGCCUUGGAGUCUCAAUUGGCACACACACAAACAGGUCAGAUAACUUUUAAUCUUAUUUUAGGUUUUGUUAAUUUUAAAAUGUUCUUUCCUCAGGUAUCUGUAGUAUGUGACAUUGUGUAUGACUAUGUGUAUGUGUGAUAAUGCUUUAGCGUGCUUUCUUCAUGCUAAAUUCUCUCUGAAAUCCCAUUUCAAAGUGCCUAACUGUGAAUAAUGUGCCUAAUUUGUGAAUAAUGCAGUAAAAAAGAAAUUUCAGUAAUCAUUUUCAGCUGUGUGAGGUCAGAAUCCAAACGCAUGCAAAAUUAAAGAAUAUUUCCUGAGGGUGGGGGAAAAAUACCAAGUUCUCUGUAACAAUUAUAUUAACUUGCAAAUCCAUGUACCUCCAUACCUCCAUAAUUACAAGUCAAGGCAAAUAUGCCCUUUUUCCUUGAAAAGAAGAAAAAAGUACUAAUGUAAAAUGAUGUCUUUAACAGAGUUGCUUUAUAGUGGCUCUGUGUUAGACAUUAGAGGACAGCUAUAUUUGGGUAAAAUCUCCUUCUACCCAUCAAUGAUGAGAGAGUGGCUUGUGCACUGGUGCAUGAAAUAUCAUGAAUCUUUCAAAGCAAACAUUGGUUGCAUAUGAAAACAACCCCCUGCACAUGAGAAAUGAAGAUGGCCCAACUACAUAUAAUAAAGACAAAAGCAGAAAGCUCUGCAACCUGCUGAGAUAAAUAUUUUCCAGCCUGGGAAAUUCAUAAGUCUGGAAAUACUGUGAGGUCUAAGAAAGCCAAUUGAGGCAGUUACUAUAUGAAAAUUAUUUCUAAGGUACAGCGGCCACACUUCAUGCCUUUCUUCUGUUUCUUCUUUCUUCACCCAGUGUCUGAGAUAUAUUCUUGAUAAUUACCAUGGAGAGAGCCAUUGUGAUGGUGUUACUUUUGUAUUCUCUUUUUUUCUUUUUCUUUUUCUUUUUUGUUUUUGUUUUUGUUUUAAAGCCUUUGAAGUAGUGAUUGAUUUUUAUUUAUUUUUUUAAACCUUCAGUCACUGCCUGAAGUAGGUGGGAGGUAUGCGAGAGCAAAUCUCAGAUAAUGGGCCUAGAAAAAAUGAU